UUCUAGCACAUCAGUCAAAUUCCCGAUAGAUUGCUUAUUCGUGCUCUAUUGGAGCCGUUAUUGUGCUGAAAUGAAUAGGAGAGGUGCAGCAGAAUGUUUCAGAAGA
RNAcentral lists this small nucleolar RNA (106 nucleotides) under Eremothecium cymbalariae DBVPG#7215. RNAcentral describes it as "Small nucleolar RNA snR85". It matches the Rfam family "Small nucleolar RNA snR85". Lineage: Eukaryota; Fungi; Ascomycota; Saccharomycetes; Saccharomycetales; Saccharomycetaceae. The record is from Rfam by way of RNAcentral.